This 358-nucleotide ribosomal RNA is filed under the name Ampithoe kava. RNAcentral's name for it is "partial large subunit ribosomal RNA". The record is from RNAcentral. Lineage: Eukaryota; Metazoa; Arthropoda; Malacostraca; Amphipoda; Ampithoidae.
UUGGAUACUGGUAUAAAUGAUUAAACAAUUAUUAUAUUUCUUUUUAUUAAAUAAUAAUUUAGAGUUAUAGUUAAAAUCCUAUAAUUUAUAAAAAAGACGAUAAGACCCUAAAAUCUUUAUUUUAUUUGCUUUUUUAAGGUAAAUUUAUUUUUUACUGGGGUAGUAGUUAUAUUUAUUAUAAAAAAAUAAACUUUUUGGUUUUAUUUCCUUUACAGAAAGGUAAAAUUAGUUACUUUAGGGAUAACAGCGUAAUACUAAUGAAGAGAACAUAUCUAUAUUGGUGUUUGCGACCUCGAUGUUGAAUUAAUAAACCUUUUUUAAGCAGCUUUAAAAAAAGGGGGUUUGUUCAACCUUUAAU